Molecule: long non-coding RNA, 313 nt
Filed under: Nicotiana benthamiana
Lineage: Eukaryota; Viridiplantae; Streptophyta; Magnoliopsida; Solanales; Solanaceae
Description: long non-coding RNA (NBEN_LNC030332)
Source: RNAcentral
AUUUUUCAAAUCUGCAAGACAAUCGAUUGUGAACCUUAUGACAAUCGAUUGUGUUGAGGCACUGUACAUCAAAGUUUUUCAAAGAUACAAAAUAAUCGAUUGUGAACUUAUGACAAUCGAUUGUGUUGAGGCAGUGUCUAUCAGACAUUUCAAAGUCAUAAAAUAAUCGAUUGUGUACCUUUGACAAUCGAGUGCAUUGAGGCAGUGUCUAACUGAUUUUUCAAAGACUGAUAUAUAAUCGAUUGUUCUCAUAGCAUAAUCGAUUGUGUAAUUGACCGUUGCCAAAAUAUUUUCAAAAACCGUCAGGUAAUCN